GACGAACGCUGGCGGCGUGCUUAACACAUGCAAGUCGAACGGAAAGGCCCUGCUUUUGUGGGGUGCUCGAGUGGCGAACGGGUGAGUAACACGUGAGUAACCUGCCCUUGACUUUGGGAUAACUUCAGGAAACUGGGGCUAAUACCGGAUAGGAGCUCCUGCUGCAUGGUGGGGGUUGGAAAGUUUCGGCGGUUGGGGAUGGACUCGCGGGUUAUCAGCUUGUUGGGGGGGUAGUGGCUUACAAAGGCUUUGACGGGUAGCCGGCAUGGGAGGGGGACCGGGCACAUGGCGACUGCGAGACGGCGCAGACGCGUACGGGAGGCAGCAGGGGGGAGCAUGGCACAGUGAGCGGAAGCCAGAGGUAGCAACGCUGCGUGCGGGAUGCUGGGUUUCGGGUGAUAAACCGCUGUGUCCGGUGACGAAGCGUGAGUGACGGUAACGGGUAAAGAAGCACCGGCUAACUACGUG
This 468-nucleotide ribosomal RNA is filed under the name uncultured bacterium. RNAcentral describes it as "partial 16S ribosomal RNA". It matches the Rfam family "Bacterial small subunit ribosomal RNA", at positions 28 to 507 of the family's 1533-position model. The record is from RNAcentral.